UACAGAGGGGGCAAGCGUUGUUCGGAAUUACUGGGCGUAAAGGGCGCGUAGGCGGCCAUCUAAGUCGGACGUGAAAUCCCCGGGCUCAACCCGGGAACUGCGUCCGAUACUGGAAGGCUUGAAUCCGGGAGAGGGAUGCGGAAUUCCAGGUGUAGCGGUGAAAUGCGUAGAUAUCUGGAGGAACACCGGUGGCGAAGGCGGCAUCCUGGACCGGCAUUGACGCUGAGGCGCGAAAGCCAGGGGAGCAAACGGG
RNAcentral lists this ribosomal RNA (253 nucleotides) under uncultured bacterium. Its description in RNAcentral is "partial 16S ribosomal RNA". It matches the Rfam family "Bacterial small subunit ribosomal RNA", at positions 524 to 776 of the family's 1533-position model. The record is from RNAcentral.